UACAGAGGGUGCAAGCGUUGUUCGGAAUUAUUGGGCGUAAAGCGCGUGUAGGCGGCUUUGCAAGUCGGGUGUGAAAGCCCUCAGCUCAACUGAGGAAGUGCGCCCGAAACUGCAGAGCUUGAGUACCGGAGAGGAUGGCGGAAUUCCCCAAGUAGAGGUGAAAUUCGUAGAUAUCGGGAGGAACACCGGUGGCGAAGGCGGCGACCCGGGUAGAUACUGACGCUGAGGUGCGAAAGCGUGGGGAGCAAACAGG
RNAcentral lists this ribosomal RNA (253 nucleotides) under uncultured bacterium. Its description in RNAcentral is "partial 16S ribosomal RNA". It matches the Rfam family "Bacterial small subunit ribosomal RNA", at positions 524 to 776 of the family's 1533-position model. The record is from RNAcentral.